AGAGUUUGAUUCCGGCUCAGGAUGAACCCUGAACGAAUGCUUAACACAUGCCAGUUCAUGGGGAAGGGCGAACCUCGCUUAACCGGUAACCAUGGCCGAAGGGUGAAUAACCCGUAAGGAACUUACCUGCCGGACCGGGAUAACCGAAGGAAACUUUUGACCAGACCGGAUAAAGUUACUGGGCAGCAUUGUUUGGUAAUGAAAGGAGAACCCUGCGGAAAGUCUUGCGUCCUAUUAGCUAGUUUGGUCGGGUAACGGCUGACCAAGGCGAAGAUAGGUAGCCGGCCUGAGAGGGUGGACGGCCACAAGGGGACUGAGAUACGGCCCUUACUCCUACGGGAGGCAGCAGUGGGGAAUAUUGGACAAUGGGGGCAACCCUGAUCCAGCAAUUCUGUGUGCACGAAGAAGGUUUUCGGAUUGUAAAGUGCUUUCAGCAGGGAAGAAGGAAGUGACGGUACCUGCAGAAGAAGCGACGGCUAAAUACGUGCCAGCAGCCGCGGUAAUACGUAUGUCGCGAGCGUUAUCCGGAAUUAUUGGGCAUAAAGGGCAUCUAGGCGGCCUGACAAGUCAGGGGUGAAAACCUGCGGCUCAACCGCAGGCCUGCCUUUGAAACUGUAAGGCUGGAGUACCGGAGAGGUGGACGGAACUGCACGAGUAGAGGUGAAAUUCGUAGAUAUGUGCAGGAAUGCCGAUGAUGAAGAUAGUCCACUGGACGGAAACUGACGCUGAAGUGCGAAAGCCGGGGGAGCGAACAGGAUUAGAUACCCUGGUAGUCCCGGCCGUAAACGAUGAUUACUGGGUGUGGGCAGGAAGACUGUCUGUGCCGAAGCGAAUGCGAUAAGUAAUCCGCCUGGGGAGUACGGCCGCAAGGCUGAAACUCAAAGGAAUUGACGGGGACCCGCACAAGCGGUGGAGCAUGUGGUUUAAUUCGACGCAACGCGAGGAACCUUACCAGAUCUUGACAUCCUACGAAUGCCCAUGAGGAUGGGCAGUGCCUUCGGGAACGUAGAGACAGGUGGUGCAUGGCUGUCGACAGCUCGUGUCGUGAGAUGUUGGGUUAAGUCCCGCAACGAGCGCAACCCUUUUUGCUAGUUACCAUCAUUAAGUUGGGGACUCUAGCGAGACUGCCUGCGAAGAGCAGGAGGAAGGUGGGGAUGACGUCAAGUCAUCAUGCCCCUUAUGAUCUGGGCUACACACGUGCUACAAUGGGCUGUACAGAGAGGAGCGAGGUGGUGACACGGAGCGAAUCUUGAAAGCAGUUCGAAGUUCGGAUUGAAGUCUGCAAACUCGACUUCAUGAAGUUGGAAUCGCUAGUAAUCGCGGAAUCAGCAAUGCCGCGGUGAAUACGUUCUCGGG
This 1356-nucleotide ribosomal RNA is filed under the name uncultured bacterium. RNAcentral describes it as "16S ribosomal RNA". It matches the Rfam family "Bacterial small subunit ribosomal RNA", at positions 8 to 1378 of the family's 1533-position model. The record is from RNAcentral.